Molecule: ribosomal RNA, 498 nt
Filed under: uncultured bacterium
Lineage: Bacteria
Description: partial 16S ribosomal RNA
Rfam family: Bacterial small subunit ribosomal RNA
Source: RNAcentral
AUUGAACGCUGGCGGCAUGCCUUACACAUGCAAGUCGAACGGUAACAGGUCUUCGGAUGCUGACGAGUGGCGAACGGGUGAGUAAUACAUCGGAACGUGCCUAGUAGUGGGGGAUAACUACUCGAAAGAGUGGCUAAUACCGCAUGAGAUCUACGGAUGAAAGCAGGGGAUCGCAAGACCUUGUGCUACUAGAGCGGCCGAUGGCAGAUUAGGUAGUUGAUGGGAUAAAAGCUUACCAAGCCGACGAUCUGUAGCUGGUCUGAGAGGACGAUCAGCCACACUGGGACUGAGACACGGCCCAGACUCCUACGGGAGGCAGCAGUGGGGAAUUUUGGACAAUGGGCGCAAGCCUGAUCCAGCAAUGCCGCGUGCAGGAUGAAGGCCUUCGGGUUGUAAACUGCUUUUGUACGGAACGAAAAGCCCCGGGUUAAUACCCUGGGGUCAUGACGGUACCGUAAGAGUAAGCACCGGCUAACUACGUGCCAGCCGCCGCCGUAA